RNAcentral lists this ribosomal RNA (585 nucleotides) under Pseudomonas sp. StFRB004. RNAcentral describes it as "bacterial SSU rRNA". It matches the Rfam family "Bacterial small subunit ribosomal RNA", at positions 102 to 683 of the family's 1533-position model. The record is from RNAcentral. Lineage: Bacteria; Pseudomonadati; Pseudomonadota; Gammaproteobacteria; Pseudomonadales; Pseudomonadaceae.
ACGGGUGAGUAAUGCCUAGGAAUCUGCCUGGUAGUGGGGGAUAACGUUCGGAAACGGACGCUAAUACCGCAUACGUCCUACGGGAGAAAGCAGGGGACCUUCGGGCCUUGCGCUAUCAGAUGAGCCUAGGUCGGAUUAGCUAGUUGGUGAGGUAAUGGCUCACCAAGGCGACGAUCCGUAACUGGUCUGAGAGGAUGAUCAGUCACACUGGAACUGAGACACGGUCCAGACUCCUACGGGAGGCAGCAGUGGGGAAUAUUGGACAAUGGGCGAAAGCCUGAUCCAGCCAUGCCGCGUGUGUGAAGAAGGUCUUCGGAUUGUAAAGCACUUUAAGUUGGGAGGAAGGGUUGUAGAUUAAUACUCUGCAGCUUUGACGUUACCGACAGAAUAAGCACCGGCUAACUCUGUGCCAGCAGCCGCGGUAAUACAGAGGGUGCAAGCGUUAAUCGGAAUUACUGGGCGUAAAGCGCGCGUAGGUGGUUUGUUAAGUUGGAUGUGAAAUCCCCGGGCUCAACCUGGGAACUGCAUUCAAAACUGACUGACUAGAGUAUGGUAGAGGGUGGUGGAAUUUCCUGUGUAGCGGUG